GUGGGGAAUCUUCCGCAAUGGACGAAAGUCUGACGGAGCAACGCCGCGUGAGUGAUGAAGGUCUUCGGAUUGUAAAGCUCUGUUAAUCGGGACGAAAGAGCCUAGUGUGAAUAAUGCUAGGAAGUGACGGUACCGGAAUAGAAAGCCACGGCUAACUACGUGCCAGCAGCCGCGGUAAUACGUAGGUGGCAAGCGUUGUCCGGAAUUAUUGGGCGUAAAGCGCGCGCAGGCGGAUCUGCCAGUCUGUCUUAAAAGUUCGGGGCUUAACCCCGUGAUGGGAUGGAAACUACAGAUCUAGAGUAUCGGAGAGGAAAGUGGAAUUCCUAGUGUAGCGGUGAAAUGCGUAGAGAUUUGGAAGAACACCAGUGGCGAAGGCGACUUUCUGGACGAUGUCUGACGCUGAGGCGCGAAAGCUAGGGGAGCGAACGGGAUUAGAUACCCGAGUAGUCC
This 450-nucleotide ribosomal RNA is filed under the name uncultured bacterium. RNAcentral describes it as "partial 16S ribosomal RNA". It matches the Rfam family "Bacterial small subunit ribosomal RNA", at positions 354 to 796 of the family's 1533-position model. The record is from RNAcentral.